RNAcentral lists this ribosomal RNA (515 nucleotides) under uncultured bacterium. RNAcentral describes it as "partial 16S ribosomal RNA". It matches the Rfam family "Bacterial small subunit ribosomal RNA", at positions 28 to 523 of the family's 1533-position model. The record is from RNAcentral.
GAUGAACGCUGGCGGCGUGCCUAAUACAUGCAAGUCGAGCGAAUGGAUUAAGAGCUUGCUCUUAUGAAGUUAGCGGCGGACGGGUGAGUAACACGUGGGUAACCUGCCCAUAAGACUGGGAUAACUCCGGGAAACCGGGGCCAAUACCUGAUAACAUUUUGAACCGCAUGGUUCGAAAUUGAAAGGCGGCUUCGGCUAUCACUUAUGGAUGGACCCGCGUCGCAUUAGCUAGUUGGUGAGGUAACGGCUCACCAAGGCAACGAUGCAUAGCCGACCUGAGAGGGUGAUCGGCCACACUGGGACUGAGACACGGCCCAGACUCCUACGGGAGGCAGCAGUAGGGAAUCUUCCGCAAUGGACGAAAGUCUGACGGAGCAACGCCGCGUGAGUGAUGAAGGCUUUCGGGUCGUAAAACUCUGUUGUUAGGGAAGAACAAGUGCUAGUUGAAUAAGCUGGCACCUUGACGGUACCUAACCAGAAAGCCACGGCUAACUACGUGCCAGCAGCCGCAGUAA